GCCCGGGUGGCGAAACUGGUUUGACGCGGAGGACUUAAAAUCCUCUGUCCCGAAAGGGGCGUGCGGGUUCGAAUCCCGCCCCGGGCA
Molecule: transfer RNA, 87 nt
Filed under: Actinomycetota bacterium
Lineage: Bacteria; Bacillati; Actinomycetota
Description: tRNA-Leu
Rfam family: tRNA
About the family: Transfer RNA (tRNA) molecules are approximately 80 nucleotides in length. Their secondary structure includes four short double-helical elements and three loops (D, anti-codon, and T loops).
Source: RNAcentral